GACGAACGCUGGCGGCGUGCUUAACACAUGCAAGUCGAACGGAAAGGCCCUGCUUUUGUGGGGUGCUCGAGUGGCGAACGGGUGAGUAACACGUGAGUAACCUGCCCUUGACUUUGGGAUAACUUCAGGAAACUGGGGCUAAUACCGGAUAGGAGCUCCUGCUGCAUGGUGGGGGUUGGAAAGUUUCGGCGGUUGGGGAUGGACUCGCGGCUUAUCAGCUUGUUGGUGGGGUAGUGGCUUACCAAGGCUUUGACGGGUAGCCGGCCUGAGAGGGUGACCGGCGACAUUGGGCCUAAGAUACGGCCCAGAAUCCUAUGGGAGGCAGCAGGGGGGAAUAUUGCACAAUGGGCGGAAGCCUGAUGCAGCAACGUCGCGUGCGGGAUGACGGCCUUCGGGUUGUAAACCGCUUUCGCCUGUGACGAAGCGUGAGUGACGGUAAUGGGUAAAGAAGCACCGGCUAACUACGUG
RNAcentral lists this ribosomal RNA (468 nucleotides) under uncultured bacterium. RNAcentral describes it as "partial 16S ribosomal RNA". It matches the Rfam family "Bacterial small subunit ribosomal RNA", at positions 28 to 507 of the family's 1533-position model. The record is from RNAcentral.